This 1246-nucleotide long non-coding RNA is filed under the name Carassius auratus (goldfish). RNAcentral describes it as "lncRNA (ENSCARG00000065513.1)". The record is from RNAcentral. Lineage: Eukaryota; Metazoa; Chordata; Actinopteri; Cypriniformes; Cyprinidae.
AGAAACUGAUUCGAACAAAUUAACUGAAUAGCAAUAUUUUUUUCUUAUUUCACUGAAUAUUUUUAUUUCAUUACCUUCUUUUUUAAACAUGUGUACCUUAACUCUCAUUAAAAAGGCUUUCUUUAGGCUCGUCUUGUACAUGUAAUAUAAGCACAAACUGUGUGAUGAAGUCAGAAAGAGCUUUAUUGUCAAGUCUGCUUGCACACAGAAGGAAUAUGGUUAACACUUUACAAUAAUGUUCAUAUUAGUUAACUACUUUAGUUAACAUGAACUAAGAAUGAACACAACAUUUAUUAAUCUUAGCUAAUGUUAAUUUCAACAUCUACACAUGCAUUAUUAACAUGAACUAACAGUGAACAACUGUAUUUUCAUUAACUGACAUUAACAAAGAUUAAUAAAUACUGUAAUGUAUUAUUCAUUGUUUGCUCACGUUAGUUAAUACAUUAACUAUUAUUAACUAGCAGAACCUCAUUGUAAAGUGUUACCGGAAUUAGUUUUAGUGUCACAAGUGAUUGCUCAUGACCUUCUGAUACUGCUUUUAUUUCUCAUCAAACACAACUUUAAGCAAACAGUGUUAAAAGUCCUAUACAUUUUUAUUUGACCUAAAAUACCAUGCAACAGAUUCUAUAACUGUUGUCCCUCAAAGCCUCGAAAAGGCUCAAAUGGAUUUUUUUUUAAUCUGAUCAGGCUUCUUCUGGUUCAUGAUCUGUUCAGCCAGAGUCGUUUAGAGUCGUGCAUCUUCGGACGUGAUGCAUAUGGUUUAGUAUAAACGCCACCCACACAGCACCAGGACACCAUUUUUAGCUGCUCCCGCCUUUGCUUUGUUCUAAUCUCUCCACUAAAUGCUGUAUUAAACGAAUUAAUGCAUAAUGAAUACUAAUCCCUGCUGUGUUCAACUCAUGUAUUGUACUGUAAAAGACUGAUGAUCUGACGAGCUUCUUUCUGCAGUGUUGGAUGAUGGAUCGCAGUGUGAAUGUGACGUGUGAUGAGAUUCAGAUCAGAGACGGGUUUGAGUUCAGAGUUCCUGCUGACAGAUUCACUCUCUUCCAUCAGUCUGACUGUGAACCGCUCUGGUACUCACAGGAUGAUCGUCUGAUAGCAGAUCCAUCAGAUCCUCAGAAACUGAUUGCUCCUGUGGUUUCUGUCUCUUCUGAUCGUCUCGUCACGUCUCACUGUGUGAAUCAACUCCGUCACGAGAUCCGCUGCGAUGCUUCUGGAGUAAAUGUUUUUCUCUAUUCUCAUAUUU